RNAcentral lists this unclassified non-coding RNA (378 nucleotides) under uncultured Actinomycetes bacterium. Its description in RNAcentral is "uncultured actinobacterium contains 16S-23S intergenic spacer region". The record is from RNAcentral. Lineage: Bacteria; Bacillati; Actinomycetota; Actinomycetes.
UCCGAGUUGACCCCGGCAGUCUCCUAUGAGUCCCCACCAUCACGUGCUGGCAACAUAGAACGAGGGUUGCGCUCGUUGCGGGACUUAACCCAACAUCUCACGACACGAGCUGACGACAGCCAUGCACCACCUGUAUACCGACCACAAGGGGGGCCGUAUCUCUACGGCUUUCCGGUAUAUGUCAAACCCAGGUAAGGUUCUUCGCGUUGCAUCGAAUUAAGCCACAUGCUCCGCCGCUCGUGCGGGUCCCCGUCAAUUCCUUUGAGUUUUAGCCUUGCGGCCGUACUCCCCAGGCGGGGUGCUUAAUGCGUUAGCUUCGGCACGGAGGACGUUGAUAAUCCCCCACACCUAGUGCCCAACGUUUACGGCGUGGACUAC